This 506-nucleotide ribosomal RNA is filed under the name uncultured bacterium. RNAcentral's name for it is "partial 16S ribosomal RNA". It matches the Rfam family "Bacterial small subunit ribosomal RNA", at positions 29 to 523 of the family's 1533-position model. The record is from RNAcentral.
AGUGAACGCUGGCGGUAGGCCUAACACAUGCAAGUCGAACGGCAGCACAGGAGAGCUUGCUCUCUGGGUGGCGAGUGGCGGACGGGUGAGGAAUACAUCGGAAUCUACUCUGUCGUGGGGGAUAACGUAGGGAAACUUACGCUAAUACCGCAUACGACCUACGGGGGAAAGCAGGGGAUCUUCGGACCUUGCGCGAUUGAAUGAGCCGAUGUUGGAUUAGCUAGUUGGCGGGGUAAAGGCCCACCAAGGCGACGAUCCGUAGCUGGUCUGAGAGGAUGAUCAGCCACACUGGAACUGAGACACGGUCCAGACUCCUACGGGAGGCAGCAGUGGGGAAUAUUGGACAAUGGGCGCAAGCCUGAUCCAGCCAUACCGCGUGGGUGAAGAAGGCCUUCGGGUUGUAAAGCCCUUUUGUUGGGAAAGAAGUCCAGCUGGCUAAUACCCGGUUGGGAUGACGGUACCCAAAGAAUAAGCACCGGCUAACUUCGUGCCAGCCGCCGCAGUAA